RNAcentral lists this long non-coding RNA (1228 nucleotides) under Anas platyrhynchos platyrhynchos (common mallard). RNAcentral describes it as "lncRNA (ENSAPLG00000023095.1)". The record is from RNAcentral. Lineage: Eukaryota; Metazoa; Chordata; Aves; Anseriformes; Anatidae.
AUGUCCACUAACCAUAAACAAGCCUCUGCUAUUCCAUUCCCUUCCAUCACUUGGCUGUUUGUGUCUGUUCCCCUUCCUCCAUACCUUGAAUCUGUGAAAGAAUAUCUGAGCAGCUGGGACAACUCCAUCACUGAUGAGAAAGAAGAAUCUCUGAGGGAUCACGUGGGAGCAGACGAUUUUGUCAGGGCAAGUACCAGAAGCCUCAUACGGGGAAGGAUCCAUACAUAAUCCAUCCUUGACUCUUUCCAUCCUGAUUCUGUCUAACUGAAAGAACAAUGUAAAACUGUUUCUGUAAAACAACAGAAAAACAAAACAAGCAACAAAGCCAACAAAAUUAAUCUGCUUCUACACUGUUUUUCACAUCAUUAUCUUUGUAUUAUGUUUCUUCUAUAGAUUUUUUGUAUCAAGAUGAGGUAAUUGCUAAAUCAAGGAUAAGUGUACUGAAUAUUGGAGAACGGAAACUCCCAAGGAAGAGGAGUGAAGCAAUGCCUGGUAGGGUGGAUACGAAAAGGCACUCUGGUGAUGGGGAAAAAUGAACUCUGGGGAAAAAUGAAAUCGGGAACAGUUGGAGAUGGGAGAAAACCAAGAAAAGUAGAAGAGACUGAGAAUUUAAACAGAUCUAUUAGACAAUCUUCCUAGUUUUUGUGCAUCUCCCUGCUUGCUUCCUUCUCCUCUACCUCUUUAGCAGUAGUUAAAACAAAGAAAGCAAAACAAACCAACAAAAAACCACAAUUGUUUGUAAGAUUGUCUUGACUGUUAAUCACAAUUCUAUUAUUUUCGAAGCAGUACAUACAUGUUACCUUACUCUCGCUGAGGGGUGUCUAAUAUCAGAAAUAUUCCUAUUGAUAUUGGUCACAUUUUUCAGGAAGUGCAAUUUUAGAUAAGUACUUGUAUUAUUUCCACCUUUCUUGCAUUAUUUCAUGGGACUCAUUUCACAGGACUGCUUGCUCUACCUCUUAAAAGCUCACUUGCACUACGUGGCUCUAUCGAACUCUCCUUGUGAAUCCCUAUUUAUAACAACCUAAGUUUAGAAAUAUUUGUUCACAUAUUAGCAGAGGUAUGACGUGAGAAGCUGUUUGCAUUUCUGUAUCAGCAGAUUAGGCAUCAGCUAUUUUCUCUCAUACAUGGUACAGUAAGCUGCAGUGUUGCAAUACUUUAUCAGAAAGAAAAGGAGAUACACUGGGUGUGCAACUGGGACUGCAUCCAAGAGAUGAGAGUGCUGUUUUCG